Molecule: transfer RNA, 77 nt
Filed under: Deltaproteobacteria bacterium
Lineage: Bacteria; Pseudomonadati; Myxococcota; Myxococcia
Description: tRNA-Arg
Rfam family: tRNA
About the family: Transfer RNA (tRNA) molecules are approximately 80 nucleotides in length. Their secondary structure includes four short double-helical elements and three loops (D, anti-codon, and T loops).
Source: RNAcentral
GCGCCCAUAGCUCAGCUGGAUAGAGCAACGGCCUUCUAAGCCGUAGGUCGCAGGUUCGAAUCCUGCUGGGCGCGCCA